This 766-nucleotide non-coding RNA is filed under the name Curculionidae sp. BMNH 1274272. The record is from RNAcentral. Lineage: Eukaryota; Metazoa; Arthropoda; Insecta; Coleoptera; Curculionidae.
GUUUUUUUGACUUUAAUUUUUUAUAUUUUUUUUUAUUAAUGUAAAUUUUUGUGGGAAAAAUUAGUAAAUUUUAAUAAAUUAUUGAUUUUUAUAUAGCAGUGGGUAAAUUUAAUUUAUUUAAGAAAUUAAGAAUUAGAAAUAUACUUAGUAUAAACAAAUUUUGUGCCAGCAGUUGCGGUUAUUCAAAAUAUGCAAUAAAAAAUUAUUAGUUUUAGUUAAUUAGUAUUAUUGAAUUUUUAUAGGAUUUUUUUAAGUGAAAUUUUAAAAUUUUAUAAGUUUAUAUUUGGGUAUUGAAGCUAUAAAAAUUCUUUAUAAAACUAGGAUUAGAUACCCUAUUAUAUGAAAGGUAUUUUUGAACUAAAUUAGUAAAAGUUAUGGUCUUUAAAAUUAAAAAAUUUGGCGGUAUUUUAGUCUAUUCAGAGGAAUCUGUUCUGUAAUUGAUAUUCCACGAUUUGUUUUACUUAUUUUUUAAAUUUAUAUAUCGCUGUAGAUUGAAUAUUUUUAUAGAAAGUGAAUAUUCAAGAUUUUUAAUAAAAUAAAAUCAGGUCAAGGUGUAGUUUAUAUAUAAGAAGAAAUGGAUUACAAUAAAUUUAUUUAUACUGAUAUUUAUUUUAAAAGUAUUUUGAGGGUGGAUUUGAAAGUAAUUUUUAAUAAUUUUUAAAGAUGAUUUUAGCUCUAAAAUAUGUACAUAUCGCCCGUCGCUUUCAUUAUAAAAUGAAAUAAGUCGUAACAAAGUAGAGGUACCGGAAGGUGUCUCUAGAAAUCC